UACGAAGGGGGCUAGCGUUGCUCGGAAUCACUGGGCGUAAAGGGUGCGUAGGCGGGUCUUUAAGUCAGGGGUGAAAUCCUGGAGCUCAACUCCAGAACUGCCUUUGAUACUGAGGAUCUUGAGUACGGGGGAGGUGAGUGGAACUGCGAGUGUGGAGGUGAAAUUCGUAGAUAUUCGCAAGAACACCAGUGGCGAAGGCGGCUCACUGGCCCGUUACUGACGCUGAGGCGCGACAGCGUGGGGGAGCAAACGAGGG
This 256-nucleotide ribosomal RNA is filed under the name uncultured bacterium. RNAcentral describes it as "partial 16S ribosomal RNA". It matches the Rfam family "Bacterial small subunit ribosomal RNA", at positions 524 to 778 of the family's 1533-position model. The record is from RNAcentral.